UUGUCCCGGUUUAAGCGUGUAGGCUGAUUUUCCAGGUAAAUCCGGAAAAUCAAGGCUGAGGCGUGAUGACGAGGCACUACGGUGCUGAAGCAACAAAUGCCCUGCUUCCAGGAAAAGCCUCUAAGCAUCAGGUAACAUCAAAUCGUACCCCAAACCGACACAGGUGGUCAGGUAGAGAAUACCAAGGCGCUUGAGAGAACUCGGGUGAAGGAACUAGGCAAAAUGGUGCCGUAACUUCGGGAGAAGGCACGCUGAUACGUAGGUGAAGUCCCUUGCGGAUGGAGCUGAAAUCAGUCGAAGAUACCAGCUGGCUGCAACUGUUUAUUAAAAACACAGCACUGUGCAAACACGAAAGUGGACGUAUACGGUGUGACGCCUGCCCGGUGCCGGAAGGUUAAUUGAUGGGGUUAGCGGUAACGCGAAGCUCUUGAUCGAAGCCCCGGUAAACGGCGGCCGUAACUAUAACGGUCCUAAGGUAGCGAAAUUCCUUGUCGGGUAAGUUCCGACCUGCACGAAUGGCGUAAUGAUGGCCAGGCUGUCUCCACCCGAGACUCAGUGAAAUUGAACUCGCUGUGAAGAUGCAGUGUACCCGCGGCAAGACGGAAAGACCCCGUGAACCUUUACUAUAGCUUGACACUGAACAUUGAGCCUUGAUGUGUAGGAUAGGUGGGAGGCUUUGAAGUGUGGACGCCAGUCUGCAUGGAGCCGACCUUGAAAUACCACCCUUUAAUGUUUGAUGUUCUAACGUUGGCCCCUAAUCGGGGUUGCGGACAGUGUCUGGUGGGUAGUUUGACUGGGGCGGUCUCCUCCUAAAGAGUAACGGAGGAGCACGAAGGUUGGCUAAUCCUGGUCGGACAUCAGGAGGUUAGUGCAAUGGCAUAAGCCAGCUUGACUGCGAGCGUGACGGCGCGAGCAGGUGCGAAAGCAGGUCAUAGUGAUCCGGUGGUUCUGAAUGGAAGGGCCAUCGCUCAACGGAUAAAAGGUACUCCGGGGAUAACAGGCUGAUACCGCCCAAGAGUUCAUAUCGACGGCGGUGUUUGGCACCUCGAUGUCGGCUCAUCACAUCCUGGGGCUGAAGUAGGUCCCAAGGGUAUGGCUGUUCGCCAUUUAAAGUGGUACGCGAGCUGGGUUUAGAACGUCGUGAGACAGUUCGGUCCCUAUCUGCCGUGGGCGCUGGAGAACUGAGGGGGGCUGCUCCUAGUACGAGAGGACCGGAGUGGACGCAUCACUGGUGUUCGGGUUGUCAUGCCAAUGGCACUGCCCGGUAGCUAAAUGCGGAAGAGAUAAGUGCUGAAAGCAUCUAAGCACGAAACUUGCCCCGAGAUGAGUUCUCCCUGACUCCUUGAGAGUCCUGAAGGAACGUUGAAGACGACGACGUUGAUAGGCCGGGUGUGUAAGCGCAGCGAUGCGUUGAGCUAACCGGUACUAAUGAACCGUGAGGCUUAACCUUACAACGCCGAAG
RNAcentral lists this ribosomal RNA (1462 nucleotides) under Escherichia coli. RNAcentral describes it as "partial 23S ribosomal RNA". It matches the Rfam family "Bacterial large subunit ribosomal RNA", at positions 1502 to 2925 of the family's 2925-position model. Lineage: Bacteria; Pseudomonadati; Pseudomonadota; Gammaproteobacteria; Enterobacterales; Enterobacteriaceae. The record is from RNAcentral.